RNAcentral lists this ribosomal RNA (721 nucleotides) under Torresitrachia eclipsis. RNAcentral's name for it is "partial 16S ribosomal RNA". The stretch from base 298 to 536 matches the Rfam family "Archaeal large subunit ribosomal RNA", at positions 1786 to 2143 of the family's 2987-position model. Lineage: Eukaryota; Metazoa; Mollusca; Gastropoda; Stylommatophora; Camaenidae. The record is from RNAcentral.
CACGAAUUCAGGUGAGCUAACGAUAUUUAUAGUAUAUGUGGCAAAAUAUUUAUUGAAAUAUAGUUAGGGGUGAAAGGCCUCUCAAACUUGAGGGUAUCUUGAUGUAAGUGAAAGAAAUUUAGUUUUAAAGGUAAUUAUGCAGCAAUAAGGUUGCGUAAAAGAUUCAAGAUUUAUUUUCGUCGGUUAUAGGCGUAAAAACCUGUAACAACUUAUAUAAAUAUGAAUAUUAACAGAAAUUACUUAACUAACUUACAAAAUUAUAACUUAAUAUUUUAAUAUAAUGUUAAUAUUAGUACUUAAUAGAUGUUAAUAGUGAACUCGGCAAUAAAGCUUUCAACUGUUUAUCAAAAACAUAACCACAUGCCUCAUAUGUGGCGAUUUCUGCUCAAUGAUAUGUUAAAUAGCCGCAGUACCCUGACUGUGCAAAGGUAGCGCAAUCAUUUGUCUCUUAAUUGGAGUCCUGUAUCAAUGAAUUUAUGGGGGCUUACUUUACCAUUGACAUAUUUUGAAUUUACUUAAAAGGUGCAAAAACCUUUAAGUAAAUAAAAGACGAGAAGACCCUUGAAAUUUUUAUAGAAGUUUUGUUGGGGCAACAAAGUAGUAUAAACCUACUUAGUGUACAUGCAAUGUGUUAGUUAGAAUAAAUUACUCUAGGGAUAACAGCAUAAUUCAUAGUGAGUUUGUGACCUCGAUGUUGGAUUAGGAUACUGCAGACCCAGAA